Molecule: ribosomal RNA, 465 nt
Filed under: Vreelandella stevensii
Lineage: Bacteria; Pseudomonadati; Pseudomonadota; Gammaproteobacteria; Oceanospirillales; Halomonadaceae
Description: partial 16S ribosomal RNA
Rfam family: Bacterial small subunit ribosomal RNA
Source: RNAcentral
CCUACGGGGGGCUGCAGUGGGGAAUAUUGGACAAUGGGGGGAACCCUGAUCCAGCCAUGCCGCGUGUGUGAAGAAGGCCCUCGGGUUGUAAAGCACUUUCAGUGAGGAAGAACGCCUGGUGGUUAAUACCCAUCAGGAAAGACAUCACUCACAGAAGAAGCACCGGCUAACUCCGUGCCAGCAGCCGCGGUAAUACGGAGGGUGCGAGCGUUAAUCGGAAUUACUGGGCGUAAAGCGCGCGUAGGUGGCUUGAUAAGCCGGUUGUGAAAGCCCCGGGCUCAACCUGGGAACGGCAUCCGGAACUGUCAAGCUAGAGUGCAGGAGAGGAAGGUAGAAUUCCCGGUGUAGCGGUGAAAUGCGUAGAGAUCGGGAGGAAUACCAGUGGCGAAGGCGGCCUUCUGGACUGACACUGACACUGAGGUGGGAAAGCGUGGGUAGCAAACAGGAUUAGAUACCCGGGUAGUC